GCAAAUUAACCCAUUUCCCUCCAUGAAAUUUUGAGCAAGUACAUUAUUUUAGCAUUUACACAGAUCAUAAUGCCAACUUUGGCCGAAGACAAAGAGUAUUUAUGAAGCCAUCCACGUGUAUCUACAACAUAGCAAUCUACAAAAUCCUCCGUGAAUAGACAAUUUACAACAUCAAUUGACGAAAUACAACACAUAGCAAGGUUAGAACCAACACAAUCCAGUUUACAUCAAAAACAUAUACAAAAGAUUCUAAUUCAACUUCUUGUCGUUGGCCCCCUCUUGAUCACAAUUACACCAUGUCAUGGCAUAUGUGAUAGGCUGCACCAAGUAGGAAUAACAUGAUCUGCACAAAAUUAGAACAAACAUUAGACAUUUCUAGAGAUGACCUAUAAGUGACAACAUAACAAAUUAUACAUCACAGAACUCAAGUGCUGUAGCAUCAAAAGUUGAGGCCAUAAAUCCGCCGAAAAAAUUAGAAACCUAAAUUGAUAUAAUUAUUCAAGUACUACUGUGCAUAACGAUUAUAUAUGAUAAGGGCUAGGGGUUGCCCACUUACAUUUUCAUGCAUUUAAUACAUGUCUUUAAACUGAAUUUCUUCUCUGGACGAGUUAAACUGGCAACUAAUAAAAUCUGCAAGCUCCCAAAGACGAAUUCCCAACGUGUGCGAUACUGAUAUGGCUGAGAGUACUCACUGGUUACAAUAUACUAGCAAGGAGCACAACAGAGGGCAUAAUACAACAGUACACCACAAUUUUACACAUCGGUCAAGGAGAAGAAUGCCAUGUAAGAAAUCAUGUCCCAUGUUGCAUAGAAAGAGCAUUAGUGAUUCAUCCCAUAUGCCAUGGAAUGGAAAAUAAUGGAACUGCUGCACCAUAGUACUUAC
This 883-nucleotide long non-coding RNA is filed under the name Triticum aestivum (bread wheat). Its description in RNAcentral is "long non-coding RNA (TAES_LNC004001)". The record is from RNAcentral. Lineage: Eukaryota; Viridiplantae; Streptophyta; Magnoliopsida; Poales; Poaceae.